Mauremys mutica (yellowpond turtle) is the source of this 1074-nucleotide long non-coding RNA. RefSeq lists it as uncharacterized. The transcript is spliced from 3 exons. The record is from RefSeq and is a predicted model, not a curated record. Lineage: Eukaryota; Metazoa; Chordata; Testudines; Geoemydidae.
UCUGGGUAAAAAGUACUGGGAAAGUAGAAAGACAGACUCUCACGGAGGAGGGGCUGUACCCAGCUUGGGAAUGGAGCCAAAAGAAGUGAAUUUUAAAGACAGGACAGACCCUCAAGUAGGAGGAGUUGAGCCCAGUGAAACUGGAAUGAAUAUUAUUUUUAGGUGCCCCUUCCAAAAAGGAGUAAUAAAAAUGUUUAACGUUUCUUAAAUGCUGGACAGAAGGCAUGAACACUAGAGCGCAGAGCUCCCCACAUCAGUGCUGCUGUUAUAGGCAGAGCUUCUAGUGCCACUUAUGGACUAACAUGGCUACCACUGAAACCUGUCAAGAUGGUUUCAAGGACUGCAUGGCUUGUUGGGGCAAUUCCUUCUGUAGAGAUGGACUCUGAUGUAAGCUUGAUUUUUCCCCCUCCCCCCCAUGCUAAGCAAAUGAUUUUCUCAUGCUGCAUUCCAGUUGACUAAAAUGCUACCUUAUUUUGAAAGGGGAUCCUUGCUGCAAAUACAUUCUUAUUAGGGAGCAAUGCAAAAAGGAGAGUAUCUCUCGGGAGUUUGAUUUCAGUUGGACUCACUGCAGAGAGUCACAGUAAGAAACAGGGAUGCUGGAGUAUGAAGGCUAAGUCUCAGAGUCAUCAAAGCAAUGUGGCCUGCCCUGGUGGGGAAAAAAGGAGGAAACUUUCGGACAGGCACACUAAAGACGUUACUCCCAGGAGACUGUUUAAAAGCUGGAGUAUAACACAGAUCCUGUAAAUCCAUGACAAAAGGGAAUCAUACUAUUCAAGGCAAUGAUGUAUUGUGAGAUAUCCAACUGCUAACUCUGUUGCCAAUAUUUUUGCCUCAUUUCUCAAAUAUAAAAUGCAUGCAGUUACAUAUAUUCUACACUCCAGCAAUGCCUACCCUAUGCAGAGACCCUUGGUUAGACCACAAGGAGAUCGCACUGUCCCUGGAAGGGAAGUGGAGUGGGGAAAGCAUCCCCCACAAAAUACUCCCCCUCACCUCCAUGAGUAUGGAGAUGGGGCGGGUGGGAAGUUGCUGGUUGGAUCUAAAAAAAGAGAGGAUGUGCUGCUCCCAGGAGGAUGA